CCCCAGUUGUCACCUUCAAGUCCUUGUUGUCACCUCCAGGCCUCAAUUGUCACCUCCAGAUCCCAAUUGUCACCUCCAUGUUCUUGUUGUCACCUCCCAGGCACAACUGUCACUUCCAUGUCCCAGUUGUCACCUCCUGGCUCCAGUUGUCACUUCCAUGUCCCCGUUGUCACCUCCAGGCCUUAAUUGUCACCUCCAGAUCCCCAUUGUCACCUCCAUGUCCCUGUUGUCACCUCCAGGCCUCAAUUGUCGUCUCCAGAUCCCCAUUGUCACCUCCAUGUCCUUGUUGUCACCUCCCAGCCACAAUUGUCACCUCUGGGUCCCAGCUGUCACCUCUGGGUCCCAACUGUCACCUCUGGGUCCCAAAUGUCACCUCCAGGCCUCAGUUGUCACCUCCAGAUCCCCAUUGUCACCUCCAUGUCCUUGUUGUCACCUCCCAGCCACAAUUGUCACCUUCAGGUCCUUGUUGUCACCUCCCGGGCACAGCUGUUAUGUCCAGGUCCUUGUUGUGACCUCCAGGCCUUAAUUGUCACCUUCAAGUCCUUGUUGUCACCUCCAGGCCUCAAUUGUCAUCUCCAGAUCCCCAUUGUCACCUCCAUGUUCUUGUUGUCACCUCCCCGGCACAGCUGUCACUUCCAUGUCCCAGUUGUCACCUCCAGGCCUCAAUUGUCACCUCCAUGUUCUUGUUGUCACCUCCCUGGCACAGCUGUCACUUCCAUGUCCCAGUUGUCACCUCCUGGCUCCAGUUGUCACCUCCCAGCCCCAGCUGUCACCUCCAUGUCCUUGUUGUCACCUCCUGGCUCCAGUUGUCACUUCCAUGUCCCAGUUGUCACCUCCAGGCCUUAAUUGUCAUCUCCAGAUCCCCAUUGUCACCUCCAUGUUCUUGUUGUCACCUCCCAGCUGCAGCUGUCACCUCCAUGUCCUUGUUGUCACCCCCAGGCACCAGUUGUCACCUCCAGGUCCCCAUUGUCACCUCCAUGUUCUUGUUGUCACCUCCCAGCUGCAGCUGUCCCCUCCAUGUCCCUGUUGUCACCUCCAGGCCUCAAUUGUCACCUCCUGGUCUUUGAUGUCACCUCCCAGCUCCAGUUGUCACCUCCCGGUCUCAAUUGUCACCUUGAGAUCCCUGUUGUCAUCUCCAGAUCCCCAUUGUCACCUCCCAGCCACAAUUGUCACCUUCAGGUCCUUGUUGUCACCUCCAGGCCUCAAUUGUCACCUCUGGGUCCCAAAUGUCACCUCCAGGCCUCAAUUGUCAUCUCCAGAUCCCAAUUGUCACCUCCAUGUUCUUGUUGUCACCUCCCAGGCACAGCUGUCACUUCCAUGUCCCAAUUGUCAUCUCCUGGCUCCAGUUGUCACCUCCCAGCCCCAGCUGUCACCCCCAGGCACCAAUUGUCACCUCCAGGUCCCCAGUUGUCACCUUCAAGUCCUUGUUGUCACCUCCAGGCCUCAAUUGUCACCUC
RNAcentral lists this long non-coding RNA (1457 nucleotides) under Zonotrichia albicollis (white-throated sparrow). RNAcentral's name for it is "lncRNA (ENSZALG00000001144.1)". The record is from RNAcentral. Lineage: Eukaryota; Metazoa; Chordata; Aves; Passeriformes; Passerellidae.